This is a long non-coding RNA of Xenopus laevis (African clawed frog), 4035 nucleotides long. RefSeq lists it as uncharacterized. The transcript is spliced from 3 exons. NCBI's taxonomy places the organism in Eukaryota, Metazoa, Chordata, Amphibia, Anura, Pipidae. The record is from RefSeq and is a predicted model, not a curated record.
UAUAUUGUAUGUUAUGAGGCCAGGCUAACAAAUCCCCAACUGCAGUGACCUCGAAGAGUUAAUGUUUUUGGUAACCUAUCACACCAAGGGGGUGGAGUGUGUGUGGAUUUAAAAAACCUGUUUGAAAUGUGCACUGAUUAACACUUGAAAAAGAGCCACUAGCUCGAAACAUGUUGUGAAUAGAAAAACCUUGCAGCACAGUUUCUGCGGUUUUAUGUUCCUGUUUGUUCACAACCUUAAAGAUUUGGCAUGUGCUGGUAUUCUGCCUGUGCAAGCAUAGAGGAGGUAAGAAAGUACUCAUUCGCUAAGUUGUAGAUUACUGGGUGCAGUUUUGUUUCUGGAGGUUCUUUCUCCACUUGUAGCCCCUGUUCCGUUUUGACAACAGCGUUGUCAGGAAGGGGACCCUGUGCGGCUGGGUAUUGCUGCUGCUUUGCCUGUUGGUGUUCUUCGCCCCUGUAUGGAAAGCUGUUUGGCGCCAAUUUGGAUUUUCCUUGCUGCUGCCUACAGGUGCACUAUGAGGGAUCUGGCUGCAUCGAAAAGAGCCAAUCCAAACGCUGCCAAGGCUCAGGUCCUGUGGCGCAGUGCCUAAGGAGCCUGGUUUACGGCUGUAAAGCUUUGAGUUCAAAUUCUGGCUGUGAUCCUUGGAUGACUGCUUAAAAUGCAAGAUUCAAUUCAGGCAGAGUAGUCUAAAAUAUCCAAAAGAAUUCUGGAUGAGAGAAAAGUGGAAGAGCUGUAUCGUUUUUCAGGUGAGACGAAGAGGACCUGAUGGGAUUCUCCAGUGGCUAGGUUAGCUAAAAAGGUGGCUAUACCAUAGAUGACAUUUCAGCACUGAAAUAUCCAAGGAAUUAAAGAAAAGUUAUAUGUCUUCCGGGCGGCCUAUAAGCAUGCUGUAGCUCUGGUGGCAGCUACAAAGGCCCUUUCUAUAUGGCCAAAGAAUCUGGAACAGGCCAUUAAGGAUAAAGUUCCAGAAGGGGGAAAAAUUUAAUAAAUUAAAAAUUUUCGAAGGUCUGGAUGACUUCAGAAUACGCCUCUCUAGAUCUUGUCCAGCUGUCAGCUUGCUCUUUGAUAUUGAAGUCACAGCUCAGAGCCCUUUUGGUUAGAUCAUGGUUUGCAGAUACUGAUUCCAGGAAUUUCUUUGCAAGAUGGCUUUCUAAGGAAAGAGAUUAUUUGGGAAAGUCUUAGAUAACAUUGUCUUCAGGGGGAAGAGUACUUUUCUUUCCCAAGCAAGGCAAUUCCAUGACAGUUCCAGGAAUGUUUGUAUGCCUUCUCAAGAAGAAGGCAGGACUCCAGAAAUUUCCGAUCAGGAGAAUAAUUUAGAUCUUCAUCUUAACGCUCAUGACAAAGUUCUUUCAAGUCCAGAUUUAAAGUCCCAAGAUCUCCCAAACUUUCCCCAAAAGCUCUGUAGGGGUUGGUUGCUCACCUUUCAGGAGGUCUCAGUCAAAAAUAUUUAAGAUUCAUGGGUGGAAACUACUGUAUCUUUCAAUUAUUUGUUCAUACUACAAUUCCUCAAGACAUAGGGAAAAGGACAUUUCUUUUCCAGUGUUUCCAAAGUUGUUGAUAAGAAAGCAAUUCAGUGGUAUCAUCUCCUAUUAGCUACUGGAGACUUACGUCCAUAUAAGACCUUGAAGAAUAAAGAGAUUCCCGAAGAGCCAAACUUUUAAUGCAGACCCUUGCUACUAUGAAGGUCAUAGUUUGUCCAAGAGAUUGGAUAGCCUCUUAAAUUUUAAAAGACAUUUAUUUGCACAUGCCCAUCGUUUAGAACAUCACAGAUUUCUACAAUUUUGUCUCCAAGACCAACAUUAGCAAUUUUGCUGUCUUCCCUUUGACCUUUCUAUUUCUCCCAGGACUUUUACCUAAGUUCUUGUUGUGAUAAUAGCCAAGCUAAAAUGCAGGAGAACAUAGAAAUCUACCAUUACCUGGAUGAUUUACGUAGGGGUGAGAGAUCCAGCCACAUUAUCAUCCAAUUUUAUAAAAACCCAGGAGGUUUUAGAGAAGUUUAGCUGGAUCUUAAAGGUAGCCAAAAGUCAGAUGAUACCAUCCCAGAAAAUGGCAUACCUUGGAGCUCAAAUUGACACCAUUUUGGUGAAAAAUAAAUUCUUAUUGUCCUUCAGGUGACGCAAUUUUGGGAGAGAUCAUUCACAUCUGCAAAGAAAUUUGUGAGCCUUCUGAUUUCAACUUUAAACAUGGUGAAAUGGACCAAAUGGAGGAAAAGGCCUAUUCAGUUAUUUUUUUCAGGCAGUAGGAUCCUAAUGCUUGAAAUUGGUCACAUGCAAUUCAAAUCAACACAGAGUGCAAGAGACAUUUAGCCUGGUGGAAAAUACCCAGCAAUCUCUGCAAGGGGUUUCCCCUCGGGAAACCAGCUUGGAUAGAAGUGGUACAGGUAGAAAACCUUUCCGAGAUACUGACCAAUAUCCUGGAGCUCAGGGUGGUUCUCCUAGGGUCUGCAGUGAAGAUCAGAAAAUGCAGCAGCUGCAGCUUAUUUUAGAAAUCAAGGGGGACAAAGAGCAUGACAUUGCUCAGAGAGACUGUCCCAAUCAUGGAAUGACCUUAGAUACACCUUCAAGAUUUAACUGCUCUGUACAUUGCAGGAGCCCAAUAUCUUAAAGAUUAUCUCAGACAUCAUCACCUACACAAUGGGGAAUGGGAGUUAAAUCAGAAGAUCUUUCACUAGAUAACAUUUAUUUGGGGCUGUCCGGAGGUGGAUAUGAUGGCGACAAAUCUGAAAUCCAAGAUUCUGAUCUUCCUCUUCAGAGUCCCUUGUGUGGAACUGUGGCAGUGGAUGCUCUCUGCCAGAGUUGGGAGGGUCUGUUUGCUUACAUCUUUCCUCCAGUACAGAUAACACUGCGAUUCCUGCAAAGCAUCUUAUUGUCGAGGAUGGAGGUUAUUGCCAUUCUUCCCGAUUGGCCCAGGAGACCAUAGUAUGUACUCCUGAGAAGCCUGUCAAUUGUGUCCGUUACCACUUUCACAAACCAGAGGUCUCUUUCUCUGGGCAGUUUGAAGCAUCCAAACCAAAUCAACCUCAAACUGAUGGUGUGGAGGUUGAGAGGAGGAUCAAACCCUUUUCAACGCCAGGAAAUGCAACACAAACUUUAAAUAUUAUAAAGCAUGGCAGAUAUUAUCUUCCUGGGCUGUCGAGAUACAUCUUAAUCCUUAACACCAUUCAUGGUUGAAAUCCUGAAGUUUCUUAAGGAGGGCUACAAAAAGGUCUGAGUCUCAGCACUCUAAAGGACCAGGUCUUUGCAUUGUCGGUGAUUUUGGAGAAGAGGUGAUCGAGAGAUUCAUUAAUAGAUAAAUUCUUCCAAUCAAUACUUAAAAAUAGACCUAAACUCGAUUAGGUCUAUUUGUCCAACCUGGGGUCUUCCUCUUGAUCUGAGAUCCCUCUCUACUGCACCACUAAAUGUUUAGAUCAAGUUCUUUGUGGUUGAAAACUUUUUUUGGGUGGCCUUACAUCAACCAUAUAAAGGGCUUAUAAAUAGCAGGGCAACUAUUUGCCAUAGGGAGUAAGAUGCAUUUGACACUGGUUGUGGCAGCCUCCUGGGCAUCAGAGGCAGAAGUGUCUUCAAAAUUUUAUAAAUAUUAACUUAAUCUGCCAUUAACUUCUGUCCCUCAUGGUCUCAAACCUGAGAAAUGUUUAGUCUAGUUCAGGGCGGAAAUAGGGGUAGACACAUGAGGUGUCUUGGUUUCAUUACUACAGGUGCUAUAGUUCUGUGGAUCUGACAUGCACCUUCAUGUUCACAUCUACAGGUUGUACCUCAUGUUUUACUUUGAACAGCCUCACCUUUCUGUAGCAGCAUGCUGAUUUAUAUAGUUCCACCACAAUAUUUACUUUGAACACAUACAGUUACACUGUUCACUUAGCUGGAGUGAAUAUGCAGUUAUGCAUAUGAACAGCAUAGUUCUGCAGUAUAUGGAACUCUCUGCUCUAAUUCUUUUAAGAGUAAGAGGAAUUGAUAUAGCUCAUCAGAGUACUGGAGUGUUUUCUGAUCAUAGAUUUUUAGUGAAGCAGUAUUCAGUUGUAUGAAAUUAAAUCAAAUG